UUUCCCCUAUACUCCUGCCCCUGCAGAAGUCGCUCACCUAUUUUAUUUUGCCUUCUCCCUCAUGCUAUCCUUAAGUUGCGUUCUUGUCACGUGUCCUUUCCACUUGUUACUUCAAGCAGCCCAUAUUGCCACCACCAUCUCCUACGGCUAUUGUUUGGUUAUCGAGUCUGCCCUUGCGAGUCGUAGUGCAUGCUAGUGCUGUUUUAUCUCGUUAUCGUUAUCUUAUCGGGUUAUAUGUUGGGAAGAAUCAUGGUUACUUUAGUUGUUGAUAAUUGUUUAGCGGAGGCAUCGGUGGGUCAGCUGCUUGUUUUGUGACGGCUCACUUGUGUUUCCUAAAUAUCUUAGGACCCCGAGUUCUUGUUAUCUGUUCCGAGACUAAGCACUCUAACCACACGUGGGUAUGCUUACCGGGUCUCCCCUCGACCACUGCCGGAAUCUACAGCCUUGUCCAGUGGCCACAACUAGUUUGGAUGUUUGUUUUGUUUCUCUUGGGCGUGCAAGCAUGUUUCUUUGUGGUCAGAUGAUAUGAUGUUACUUUUGGGGAAGCCGUGAGUGCCUUGUAACCCCGUUGUCUCUUGCACGCUCGUAGGUGCGGUCCGCAUUGGUAAGAGGUCAUCCUCUAGUGGGCUCUGAUCCUCUUAGCCGUUCUCGCAACAGCUAGGUCCGCGUCGGAGUUUCGAUCGGGCUCCGAAAUGGGUUAACUUAGUUAGGUGGCUUCCUGGACAUUGUUGUCGUGAAGGAGAGUGCGUGUCGUGAUAUCCACCUGUCGUAAGUGGGUUGAUCGUGCGUGUGGGCACAUUUGGGCACCCCUGCAGGGUUACAAUCUUAUCGAUAAGCCGCGUCCGCGGUUAUGGACGACUUGGAGCUGUAUGACUCGAUCAUAGACAACUUACAUCUGUUGUUUCAAUCAUAAUUACUUGUGUAGUAAGUUAGCACAACUUCAAUAAUAAAUGGUUAAAACUUGACAACAGUGUGAGUGCCUUUGCCAGUACUUCUUUGCGAAGGGGGAACGUAUCGGCUGUGUUAUGUUUGCAGAGUGUAGAACUGUUAGUUUAUGCGCUCUCUCACCUUCUCUGUUUAGACGAAUAUUGUAGAGUGUCUCUAUAGGUUUUUAGUGCUUGCGCGCUGCCGCUUAACCCCACCAUAUUGCCUAUGACGUUCCUCUUGCGUCCUCUAAGUCCCCUGCGUGCCUCAAGUACAAAGGACGACUGGUUGACGAAUGCUUAUACGUCUUGAAGUCUUGUUAAGUACGAACCCAUACUUAUUGCUGCUUCUACGGGAUAUAACCGGGCAGGUAUGAAGAUAUGUUCGAUGAAGACGACGUUAGCAAGGUUACCCUUCCGGCUUGGCCUGGGCAGGGUUAUGGACGUCACUGGUUAUCUUCAGGACUCUUAGUCCAAUUUGUAUCUUGUCCGUACUCGGAAGCAUUCGAUCUUCUGUAUGAUUUGGAUCUUUGUAUUGUAUAUUUGUAUCUUGACUCGUUGGGGUCGUUGUUGUAAUAUAUGUAUCUUGUGGGCUCUAUUGUAAUCCUGUUGUAAUGUUACCGCUCGUGUUAAUUCCUCUGGCAUCACGUGUGUGA
Non-coding RNA from Lolium perenne, 1579 nucleotides. Lineage: Eukaryota; Viridiplantae; Streptophyta; Magnoliopsida; Poales; Poaceae. The record is from RefSeq and is a predicted model, not a curated record.